Molecule: ribosomal RNA, 357 nt
Filed under: Typhlosaurus lomiae
Lineage: Eukaryota; Metazoa; Chordata; Lepidosauria; Squamata; Scincidae
Description: partial 12S ribosomal RNA
Source: RNAcentral
CCUAAACUNGCCGUCGUUUUUUAUCAGAAUUAUACAUGCAAGUCUCCGCACCACAGUGAAAAUGCCCAUCAACUCCAAAACAGACCACCGGAGCAGGUAUCAGGUACACCAUAGUAAAGCCAAUGACACCUUGCCACGCCACACCCACACGGGACAUCAGCAGUAAUUAACAUUAAGCAAUAGGCGACAUGAAGCCUGACUUAGUCAUGACAUAUAGGGUUGGUUAAUUUCGUGCCAGCCACCGCGGUUAUACGAAAAACCCAAGACAACGGCCUUCGGCGUAAAACGUGGCAAGAUGACAAGCCAAAAAUUAUGGGGAAACUAAGACAAAGCUGUAAAACGCUACAGAAUAUAAGA